AACGAUGGGAGCUUGCUCCCAGGCGUCGAGCGGCGGACGGGUGAGUAACACUUAGGAAUCUACCUAGUAGUGGGGGAUAGCUCGGGGAAACUCGAAUUAAUACCGCAUACGACCUACGGGAGAAAGGGGGCAGUUUACUGCUCUCGCUAUUAGAUGAGCCUAAGUCGGAUUAGCUAGAUGGUGGGGUAAAGGCCUACCAUGGCGACGAUCUGUAGCUGGUCUGAGAGGAUGAUCAGCCACACCGGGACUGAGACACGGCCCGGACUCCUACGGGAGGCAGCAGUGGGGAAUAUUGGACAAUGGGGGAAACCCUGAUCCAGCCAUGCCGCGUGUGUGAAGAAGGCCUUUUGGUUGUAAAGCACUUUAAGCAGUGAAGAAGACCUAACGGUUAAUACCCGUUAGCGAUGACAUUAGCUGCAGAAUAAGCACCGGCUAACUCUGUGCCAGCAGCCGCGGUAAUACAGAGGGUGCAAGCGUUAAUCGGAAUUACUGGGCGUAAAGCGAGCGUAGGUGGCUUGAUAAGUCAGAUGUGAAAUCCCCGGGCUUAACCUGGGAACUGCAUCUGAUACUGUUAAGCUAGAGUAGGUGAGAGGGAAGUAGAAUUCCAGGUGUAGCGGUGAAAUGCGUAGAGAUCUGGAGGAAUACCGAUGGCGAAUGCAGCUUCCUGGCAUCAUACUGACACUGAUGCUCGAAAGCGUGGGUAGCAAACAGGAUUAGAUACCCUGGUAGUCCACGCCGUAAACGAUGUCUACUAGUCGUUGGGUCCCUUGAGGACUUAGUGACGCAGCUACGCAUAGUAGACGCUGGGGGAGUACGGCGCAGUAAACUCAAUGAUG
Molecule: ribosomal RNA, 836 nt
Filed under: Psychrobacter celer
Lineage: Bacteria; Pseudomonadati; Pseudomonadota; Gammaproteobacteria; Moraxellales; Moraxellaceae
Description: bacterial SSU rRNA
Rfam family: Bacterial small subunit ribosomal RNA
Source: RNAcentral